Molecule: ribosomal RNA, 490 nt
Filed under: uncultured bacterium
Lineage: Bacteria
Description: partial 16S ribosomal RNA
Rfam family: Bacterial small subunit ribosomal RNA
Source: RNAcentral
AGUGAACGCUGGCGGUAGGCCUAACACAUGCAAGUCGAACGGCAGCACAGUAAGAGCUUGCUCUUACGGGUGGCGAGUGGCGGACGGGUGAGGAAUACAUCGGAAUCUACUUUUUCGUGGGGGAUAACGUAGGGAAACUUACGCUAAUACCGCAUACGACCUACGGGUGAAAGCAGGGGAUCUUCGGACCUUGCGCGAUUGAAUGAGCCGAUGUCGGAUUAGCUAGUUGGCGGGGUAAAGGCCCACCAAGGCGACGAUCCGUAGCUGGUCUGAGAGGAUGAUCAGCCACACUGGAACUGAGACACGGUCCAGACUCCUACGGGAGGCAGCAGUGGGGAAUAUUGGACAAUGGGCGCAAGCCUGAUCCAGCCAUACCGCGUGGGGGAAGAAGGCCGUCGGGUUGGAAAGCCCUUUUGUUGGGAAAGAAAAGCAGCAGGUUAAUACCCCGCUGUUCUGACGGUACCCAAAGAAUAAGCACCGGCUAACUUCG